This 173-nucleotide unclassified non-coding RNA is filed under the name uncultured Pochonia. Its description in RNAcentral is "sequence contains ITS1". The record is from RNAcentral. Lineage: Eukaryota; Fungi; Ascomycota; Sordariomycetes; Hypocreales; Clavicipitaceae.
CCGAGUUUUCUACUCCCAAACCCCUGUGAACUUAUACCUUUACUGUUGCUUCGGCGGGUUAACGCCCCGGAACGGCCCCCCAAGGCCUCCCGGAACCAGGCGCCCGCCGGGGGACCCAAACUCUUGUAUUUCUUACUUUGCAUGUCUGAGUGGAAUCAUAAACAAAUGAAUCA